CUGAGGAACAUGAUUAUCGUUCCUGAAAUGAUUGGAAGUGUUAUUGGAAUUUAUAAUGGAAAGACUUUCAAUCAGAUUGAAGUCAAGCCUGAGAUGAUUGGCCACUAUUUGGCUGAGUUCUCUAUCUCAUAUAAGCCUGUCAAGCACGGUAGACCUGGUAUUGGUGCUACUCACUCGUCAAGGUUUAUACCACUCAAGUGAUCUGGUCGAGUUCUCUAUCUCAUAUAAGCCUGUCAAGCUCGGUAGACCUGGUAUUGGUGCUACUCACUCAUCAAGGUUCAUACAACUCAAGUGAUUUGGGUGCCAAUGUCUACUUUUGCUUCUGUUCUAGCCUUGUCUGAACUGUUUCGUACAACAAUUUUGAUGUGAGACCAAGUGUUAUUACUGUUUAGUUUG
RNAcentral lists this long non-coding RNA (396 nucleotides) under Nicotiana tabacum (common tobacco). RNAcentral describes it as "long non-coding RNA (NTAB_LNC010340)". The record is from RNAcentral. Lineage: Eukaryota; Viridiplantae; Streptophyta; Magnoliopsida; Solanales; Solanaceae.